GGUAAUACGUAGGGUGCGAGCGUUAAUCGGAAUUACUGGGCGUAAAGCGUGCGCAGGCGGUUUUGUAAGACAGAUGUGAAAUCCCCGGGCUCAACCUGGGACCUGCAUUUGUGACUGCAAAGCUAGAGUACGGCAGAGGGGGAUGGAAUUCCGCGUGUAGCAGUGAAAUGCGUAGAUAUGCGGAGGAACACCGAUGGCGAAGGCAAUCCCCUGGGCCUGUACUGACGCUCAUGCACGAAAGCGUGGGGAGCAAACAGGAUUAGAUACCCUGGUAGUCCACGCCCUAAACGAUGUCAACUGGUUGUUGGGUCUUCACUGACUCAGUAACGAAGCUAACG
RNAcentral lists this ribosomal RNA (338 nucleotides) under Comamonadaceae bacterium. RNAcentral describes it as "bacterial SSU rRNA". It matches the Rfam family "Bacterial small subunit ribosomal RNA", at positions 519 to 857 of the family's 1533-position model. Lineage: Bacteria; Pseudomonadati; Pseudomonadota; Betaproteobacteria; Burkholderiales; Comamonadaceae. The record is from RNAcentral.